CACAAUAAACAUAUGAAGGCUGCACCGCCAACAGGCGGCAAGGCUGGAGUAUUUUAUUACCCUUGUCUUUGCGCACUUGUUGUUUCCUGGGCGGGUUCGCCCGCCUCCAGGACCACAUGAUAAACCUAUUUUAUGCAGUUGCAAUCAGCGUCAGUACAACAAAUGUAAAUCAUUUA
RNAcentral lists this unclassified non-coding RNA (176 nucleotides) under soil metagenome. RNAcentral's name for it is "partial internal transcribed spacer 1". The record is from RNAcentral.